This 292-nucleotide ribosomal RNA is filed under the name uncultured bacterium. RNAcentral describes it as "partial 16S ribosomal RNA". It matches the Rfam family "Bacterial small subunit ribosomal RNA", at positions 505 to 796 of the family's 1533-position model. The record is from RNAcentral.
GUGCCAGCAGCCGCGGUAAGACGUAGGAUGCAAGCGUUGUCCGGAUUUAUUGGGCGUAAAGAGUUCGUAGGCGGCUUGUUAAGUCUGGUGUUAAAGACUGGGGCUCAACCUCGGAAAUGCACUGGAUACUGGCAGGCUUGAGUAUGGUAGAGGCGAGCGGAAUUCCCAGUGUAGCGGUGAAAUGCGUAGAUAUUGGGAAGAACACCGGUGGCGCAAGCGGCUCGCUGGGCCAUUACUGACGCUGAGGAACGAAAGCUAGGGGAGCGAAUGGGAUUAGAAACCCCUGUAGUCC